RNAcentral lists this ribosomal RNA (144 nucleotides) under Lactococcus lactis subsp. lactis KF147. The record is from RNAcentral. Lineage: Bacteria; Bacillati; Bacillota; Bacilli; Lactobacillales; Streptococcaceae.
UUGGUCAUCAUUGCGAUGGAGAUACACCUGUUCCCAUGUCGAACACAGAAGUUAAGUCCAUCUACGGCGGAAGUACUUGGGGGUUGCCCCCUGGGAGAUAGGCGAGUGGCCAAGUUUUGGGAGUUUAGCUCAGCUGGGAGAGCA